UACGUAGGUGACAAGCGUUGUCCGGAUUUACUGGGCGUAAAGAGCGCGCAGGCGGUCGUUCAAGUCGAGUGUGAAAGCCCCCGGCUCAACUGGGGAGGGUCACGCGAUACUGAUCGACUCGAAGGCAGGAGAGGGUAGUGGAAUUCCCGGUGUAGUGGUGAAAUGCGUAGAUAUCGGGAGGAACACCAGUGGCGAAGGCGACUACCCGGCCUGUUCUUGACGCUGAGGUGCGAAAGCUAGGGGAGCAAACGGG
RNAcentral lists this ribosomal RNA (253 nucleotides) under uncultured bacterium. RNAcentral describes it as "partial 16S ribosomal RNA". It matches the Rfam family "Bacterial small subunit ribosomal RNA", at positions 524 to 776 of the family's 1533-position model. The record is from RNAcentral.